GACUUCCCUCUCUACCGUCGACCUCAAUAAAACCCUCGACUCGCCAAAAUCUCGCCAAAAGGAAAGGUAAGAGCCCCCUUCCUCUGUUCCCUCUCUUCCAAGGAAUUCCGACCACUUCAACCGGCAAAAAUUGCCACAGUUCCACCAAAUUAACGACCACUAUGGCAGCGCAAUGUUCGGAAAUAAUUUCGUUGGACACCGCUGGUGAAUUGCGCCGGUCUGAGAUACGAGUGUGCAAUGUUCGGUAGUGGGCGGCUGAUUUGGAUUGUGAGAGGUAGACAGCUGACAUCGGCAGGAGUAUGGGGCGGUGGCGGGAUGAGAUAAUUGCCGCGGGUGGUGGUGGUGGAAGUUUGAAGGAAGAGGGGCAGGUGUGGCGACGGCUAGAAGAAAGGGUGG
Molecule: long non-coding RNA, 396 nt
Filed under: Erythranthe guttata (spotted monkey flower)
Lineage: Eukaryota; Viridiplantae; Streptophyta; Magnoliopsida; Lamiales; Phrymaceae
Description: long non-coding RNA (EGUT_LNC002278)
Source: RNAcentral